GACGAACGCUGGCGGCGUGCUUAACACAUGCAAGUCGAACGGAAAGGCCCUGCUUUUGUGGGGUGCUCGAGUGGCGAACGGGUGAGUAACACGUGAGUAACCUGCCCUUGACUUUGGGAUAACUUCAGGAAACUGGGGCUAAUACCGGAUAGGAGCUCCUGCUGCAUGGUGGGGGUUGGAAAGUUUCGGCGGUUGGGGAUGGACUCGCGGCUUAUCAGCUUGUUGGUGGGGUAGUGGCUUACCAAGGCUUUGACGGGUAGCCGGCCUGAGAGGGUGACCGGCCACAUUGGGACUGAGAUACGGCCCAGACUCCUACGGGAGGCAGCAGUGGGGAAUAUUGCACAAUGGGCGGAAGCCUGAUGCAGCAACGCCGCGUGCGGGAUGACGGCCUUCGGGUUGUAAACCGCUUUCGCCUGUGACGAAGCGUGAGUGACGGUAAUGGGUAAAGAAGCACCGGCUAACCACGUGCCAGCAGCCGCGGUGAUACGUAGGGUGCGAGCGUUGUCCGGAUUUAUUGGGCGUAAAGGGCUCGUAGGUGGUUGAUCGCGUCGGAAGUGUAAUCUUGGGGCUUAACCCUGAGCGUGCUUUCGAUACGGGUUGACUUGAGGAAGGUAGGGGAGAAUGGAAUUCCUGGUGGAGCGGUGGAAUGCGCAGAUAUCAGGAGGAACACCAGUGGCGAAGGCGGUUCUCUGGGCCUUUCCUGACGCUGAGGAGCGAAAGCGUGGGGAGCGAACAGGCUUAGAUACCCUGGUAGUCCACGCUGUAAACGGUGGGUACUAGGUGUGGGGUCCAUUCCACGGGUUCCGUGCCGUAGCUAACGCUUUAAGUACCCCGCCUGGGGAGUACGGCCGCAAGGCUAAAACUCAAAGGAAUUGACGGGGCCCCGCACAAGCGGCGGAGCAUGCGGAUUAAUUCGAUGCAACGCGUAGAACCUUACCUGGGUUUGACAUGGAUCGGGAGCGCUCAGAGAUGGGUGUGCCUCUUUUGGGGUCGGUUCACAGGUGGUGCAUGGCUGUCGUCAGCUCGUGUCGUGAGAUGUUGGGUUAAGUCCCGCAACGAGCGCAACCCUUGUUCACUGUUGCCAGCACGUUAUGGUGGGGACUCAGUGGAGACCGCCGGGGUCAACUCGGAGGAAGGUGGGGAUGACGUCAAGUCAUCAUGCCCCUUAUGUCCAGGGCUUCACGCAUGCUACAAUGGCUGGUACAGAGAGUGGCGAGCCUGUGAGGGUGAGCGAAUCUCGGAAAGCCGGUCUCAGUUCGGAUUGGGGUCUGCAACUCGACCUCAUGAAGUCGGAGCCGCUAGUAAUCGCAGAUCAGCAACGCUGCGGUGAAUACGUUCCCGGGGCU
This 1346-nucleotide ribosomal RNA is filed under the name uncultured bacterium. RNAcentral's name for it is "bacterial SSU rRNA". It matches the Rfam family "Bacterial small subunit ribosomal RNA", at positions 28 to 1381 of the family's 1533-position model. The record is from RNAcentral.